This 426-nucleotide ribosomal RNA is filed under the name uncultured bacterium. Its description in RNAcentral is "partial 16S ribosomal RNA". It matches the Rfam family "Bacterial small subunit ribosomal RNA", at positions 359 to 776 of the family's 1533-position model. The record is from RNAcentral.
GAAUAUUGGACAAUGGGGGGAACACUGAUCCAGCCACGCCGCGUGUGUGAAGAAGGCCUUUUGGGUGUAAAGCACUUUAAGCGAGGAGGAGGAUACUCUAGUUAGAACAUAGGGAUAGUGUACGGUACUCGCAGAAUAAGAACCGGCUCAAACUGUGCCGGCAGCAGCGGUAAUACUGAGGUUGCAAUCGUUAAUCGGCUUUACGGUGCUUAAAGAGCGCAUAGGUGGCCAAAUAAUUCAAAAUGGAAAUCCCCGAGCUUAACGUGUGAAGUUCAUUCGAUACUGGUUGGCUAGAGGAUUGGAGAGGAUGGGAGAAUUCCAGUUGUAGCGGUGAAAUGCGUAGAGAUCUGGAGGAAUACCGAUAGCGAAGGCAGCCAUCUGGCCUAAUACUGACACUGAGGUGCGAAAGCAUGGGGAGCAAACAGG